GAUGAACGCUGGCGGCGUGCCUAAUACAUGCAAGUCGAGCGAACGGACGAGAAGCUUGCUUUUCUGAUGUUAGCGGCGGACGGGUGAGUAACACGUGGAUAACCUACCUAUAAGACUGGGAUAACUUCGGGAAACCGGAGCUAAUACCGGAUAAUAUUUUGAACCGCAUGGUUCAAAAGUGAAAGACGCUCUUGCUGUCACUUAUAGAUGGAUCCGCGCUGCAUUAGCUAGUUGGUAAGGUAACGGCUUACCAAGGCAACGAUGCAUAGCCGACCUGAGAGGGUGAUCGGCCACACUGGAACUGAGACACGGUCCAGACUCCUACGGGAGGCAGCAGUGGGGAAUCUUGCGCAAUGGGCGAAAGCCUGACGGAGCAACGCCGCGUGAGUGAUGAAGGUCUUCGGAUCGUAAAACUCUGUUAUUAGGGAAGAACAUAUGUAUAAGUAACUGUGCACAUCUUGACGGUACCUAAUCAGAAAGCCACGGCUAACUACGUG
This 497-nucleotide ribosomal RNA is filed under the name uncultured bacterium. RNAcentral describes it as "partial 16S ribosomal RNA". It matches the Rfam family "Bacterial small subunit ribosomal RNA", at positions 28 to 507 of the family's 1533-position model. The record is from RNAcentral.